Molecule: ribosomal RNA, 496 nt
Filed under: uncultured bacterium
Lineage: Bacteria
Description: partial 16S ribosomal RNA
Rfam family: Bacterial small subunit ribosomal RNA
Source: RNAcentral
GACGAACGCUGGCGGCGUGCCUAAUACAUGCAAGUAGAACGCUGAAGAGAGGAGCUUACUCUUCUUGGAUGAGUUGCGAACGGGUGAGUAACGCGUAGGUAACCUGCCUUGUAGCGGGGGAUAACUAUUGGAAACGAUAGCUAAUACCGCAUAACAAUGGAUGAAACAUGUCAUUUAUUUGAAAGGGGCAUUGCUCCACUACAAGAUGGACCUGCGUUGUAUUAGCUAGUAGGUGAGGUAAUGGCUCACCUAGGCGACGAUACAUAGCCGACCUGAGAGGGUGAUCGGCCACACUGGGACUGAGACACGGCCCAGACUCCUACGGGAGGCAGCAGUAGGGAAUCUUCGGCAAUGGGGGCAACCCUGACCGAGCAACGCCGCGUGAGUGAAGAAGGUUUUCGGAUCGUAAAGCUCUGUUGUAAGUCAAGAACGGGUGUGAGAGUGGAAAGUUCACACUGUGACGGUAGCUUACCAGAAAGGGACGGCUAACUACGUG